Molecule: ribosomal RNA, 724 nt
Filed under: Kudoa igami
Lineage: Eukaryota; Metazoa; Cnidaria; Myxozoa; Multivalvulida; Kudoidae
Description: eukaryotic LSU rRNA
Rfam family: Eukaryotic large subunit ribosomal RNA
Source: RNAcentral
UUAAGCAUAUCAGUAAGCAGAGGAAAAGAAAACAACUGUGAUUCCCUUAGUAACUGCGAGUGAAGCGGGAAAAGCCCAUCGUUUAAUCUUCCCGGACUGUGGACGGGACGAAAUGUAACGGUAUGGAUAGGUUCUCUACCAACAAGGUCUGAUCAAAGUCCUCCGGAUUGAGGUGCCAAAGAGGGUGACAGCCCCGUGUGUGAUUGGACUGAGUUGGGUAUGUGGCCGAUUCCGAGAGUCGGGUUGUUUGGGACUGCAACCUAAAGCAGGUGGUAAACUCCACCCAAGGCUAAAUAUUGACACGAAACCGAUAGCGAACAAGUACUGUGAAGGAAAGUUGAAAAGAACUCUGAAAAGAGAGUUAAAAGUACGUGAAACCGCUAACGGGGAAGCGGAAGGCAGUGUCGAGAUCGAGUGAGUGAGUCAAUUUAAGCGUUUGCAUAAAGUGGGCGUUUGAUUUGGCUAGCUUUGCUUGAUGCGUCAGGGCUAUUGGUGUGCGACGGCUCAAUCUUCAGCAUGGCUUUCACGGCGAAUAAUUUAUUAGGGUUCGUGGAUGCGGCUGGGGAUCCGCCUCGUGUGCUGAUAGGUGUUAUUGAAGCGUUGGUGAUGUAUUGUCGGUUGGUGCGGUGUGGUGGUUCGUUCUGGUCACAGUGUGGCUACGUGCGGACAAGUCAUGUGGUAGUUCAACAACCAAUGCUAGUUCCUGGCGUGAUACCUAACCUUC